Molecule: ribosomal RNA, 1370 nt
Filed under: uncultured bacterium
Lineage: Bacteria
Description: bacterial SSU rRNA
Rfam family: Bacterial small subunit ribosomal RNA
Source: RNAcentral
AGAGUUUGAUCCUGGCUCAGGACGAACGCUGGCGGCGCGCCUAACACAUGCAAGUCGAACGAGCGAGAGAGAGCUUGCUUUCUCGAGCGAGUGGCGAACGGGUGAGUAACGCGUGAGGAACCUGCCUCAAAGAGGGGGACAACAGUUGGAAACGACUGCUAAUACCGCAUAAGCCCACGGGUCGGCAUCGACCAGAGGGAAAAGGAGCAAUCCGCUUUGAGAUGGCCUCGCGUCCGAUUAGCUAGUUGGUGAGGUAACGGCCCACCAAGGCGACGAUCGGUAGCCGGACUGAGAGGUUGAACGGCCACAUUGGGACUGAGACACGGCCCAGACUCCUACGGGAGGCAGCAGUGGGGAAUAUUGCACAAUGGGGGAAACCCUGAUGCAGCGACGCCGCGUGGAGGAAGAAGGUCUUCGGAUUGUAAACUCCUGUUGUUGGGGAAGAUAAUGACGGUACCCAACAAGGAAGUGACGGCUAACUACGUGCCAGCAGCCGCGGUAAAACGUAGGUCACAAGCGUUGUCCGGAAUUACUGGGUGUAAAGGGAGCGCAGGCGGGAAGACAAGUUGGAAGUGAAAUCUAUGGGCUCAACCCAUAAACUGCUUUCAAAACUGUUUUUCUUGAGUAGUGCAGAGGUAGGCGGAAUUCCCGGUGUAGCGGUGGAAUGCGUAGAUAUCGGGAGGAACACCAGUGGCGAAGGCGGCCUACUGGGCACCAACUGACGCUGAGGCUCGAAAGUGUGGGUAGCAAACAGGAUUAGAUACCCUGGUAGUCCACACCGUAAACGAUGAUUACUAGGUGUUGGAGGAUUGACCCCUUCAGUGCCGCAGUUAACACAAUAAGUAAUCCACCUGGGGAGUACGACCGCAAGGUUGAAACUCAAAGGAAUUGACGGGGGCCCGCACAAGCAGUGGAGUAUGUGGUUUAAUUCGACGCAACGCGAAGAACCUUACCAAGUCUUGACAUCCCUUGACAGACAUAGAAAUAUGUUUUCUCUUCGGAGCAAGGAGACAGGUGGUGCAUGGUUGUCGUCAGCUCGUGUCGUGAGAUGUUGGGUUAAGUCCCGCAACGAGCGCAACCCUUAUGGUCAGUUACUACGCAAGAGGACUCUGGCCAGACUGCCGUUGACAAAACGGAGGAAGGUGGGGAUGACGUCAAAUCAUCAUGCCCUUUAUGACUUGGGCUACACACGUACUACAAUGGCGUUAAACAAAGAGAAGCAAGACCGCGAGGUGGAGCAAAACUCAGAAACAACGUCCCAGUUCGGACUGCAGGCUGCAACUCGCCUGCACGAAGUCGGAAUUGCUAGUAAUCGUGGAUCAGCAUGCCACGGUGAAUACGUUCCCGGGCCUUGCACACACCGCCCGUCA